GGUGAGUAAUGUUUAAGGCCACUUGGAGAACUCUCUUGAGAUUACUGAUCAAGAAAAAACAAACCUCCUGAGGCUUGAUGAACAGAGAGACUCACUAUCAUGGGUUGAAAGAACCCCACUCCCACUCACAAAAUCAGUAAGUAACACUGAGCCUUUAUGUGCCCCACACUGGCUUAUGCGUUUUACAUGCAUCAUUUUUCCUGAUAAUGACCUUUAGAGUUGUGCUACCCUCAUUUUACAGAGAGGGAGACUGAGGCCCUAGUUAUACAUCUGGGAAAGGGGCACUGCUGUGUUUGUCACCAGGAAGUCCCUCCUGGCAUUUUUCCAUCAGGAGGCCUGGGGACACCCGCCACUCACGCCCUCCACUGAGGUGGGCAGAGCUUGUAAACUGGCUGGCCUUAGGCCCAAGCCCAUGGGUCCAAUUGGGGCAGGGCAUGAUUUUGGCUCCCAGAGACUAACCAGCUUCCACCUGUUGAAAUGCGUGGAAAGUGAUUCCAAUCCUUCCAUCUUUCAUUGUUGGAGCCCACAGCACAACUGCCAACCAAGAUGUCCACAGGACCUGGGCAGGGGGCACAGGUGUGGACCAAGGAACAUCACAGGCACGUGACCUAAUGGAGUGGCCCCUCCUCAGCUUCCUGUUGUCGCACUGCGACUUGAGCCCAGUGUAGCCAGAUCUUAACGGUUUUUCCAGUGAAGCUGGUAAUUGCAAUUUUUAGGUGACAAGCCCCCACAUUUUAUCCGUGGCAAAUGAAUUUUAAAAAGUUUUUAAAAAUAUCACUUUGUAAAACACUUGAGGGCCAGAUCUGACCCCCAAUUUGUACCCCCAGCUCCAGGACAAAGCAAGCAGGAGACCCAGACAUUAUUAUACAAUUCUGUAUUGAGCGACGUGUUUAUUACAGAACGUGUUCCUUUUUUUUUUUUUUAAUUUAAACAAAGUUCAUCAAUCUCUCAUAGAAACGGUUUUGUGGGUUUUUGUUCUGUUUACCGUUAUAGGACGUGAACCUGACAAAGUUGUUCACGGGUCUGCUAGCUUUAAGUACAACAGGAUUUCCGCGUUCAAAAGACUAUACUAAGUGCUUAAUCAAAUCCCGUCACACAAAAGCCAGAUUUAGUCCUCUAACAACUGCAGUCUGCAUAUUUGAUGACUCUGAAAAUUGGUCACUGUUUCCUAUUGUCAAAAUACAAAAAUACCUUCAUCUGGAUAAAAAUGUAUACAGUGGAAAACUCUUCAAUGCAUAGCCUGGGUGUAUGGAAAAGGAGGUUUUUCCUGCAGGGUUUGCGUUGCUCUUCAUUGACUGGUGUGGAGACUGCAGCCUGGGCUGGGUGCAUGAGAGUUGAGAUUUCUGGAACGGCCCUCAACUGUCCCCUUCUGGUCACUGGAUUUUGUUGGCCUGAGUUCCGAAAUGUUCGCUGUAUCCUUGAAACCCCCAGGCAUUGGGUUGGCACCACUAUGACCACCUUUUCAUCGUCAUUCUUGAUUCAGCUGCAAAGUCACCCAACUCAGCUUCCCCACAGAGUUUGAGAAAAAUAAAAGAAACAGUAAAAUAAAAAUGGGGAGAGGAGUUCCUGCUGUGGUGCAAUAGGAUUGGUGUCUCUGCUGCGUCAUGACGCAGGUUCGAUCCUUGGUCUAGCACAGUGGGUCAGGUCGCCACACUGUGGCACAGGUUGCAAUGGUGGCUCGGAUCUGAUCCCUGGCCUGGCAACUCCACAUGCCACGAGAUGGCCAAAAAAAUGAAAAAACAAAAAACCAGGAGAGAGUCAACAGCCACUAUGGUGGCUGUUCCAUUCAAAUUGGGAACUCUCUCCCUAGAAACCAGGACAACGAAGAUGCUGGAGGGAGGGCUUCUCUGAGUUGGGGUUUAAGUCUCCAUUCCCCAAAACGUCACGUGUUAGAAGGCGGGAGGAUGGACUUGGAGAUCGGGAUAUGGUGGUCAUGCUGUGGUCAAUCAACCUUUUAGCUUCAUUCUUCAUAAACUUGGAGGCGCAGACACCUUCCAGAAAGCACCAGUCAACUUGAGAAAGAAAAUGGUGAGAAGGGGAGCUGGGGUCUCUAGUUGAAUGAAUCUACUUUUUGGUGCCCGGUGCUGAGCUGGAUGCUUGUUAGAUGACCAACGCUGCUGUUUUCUCAAAACACGAGGAGGGGAAGGUGGCAGCCACAGUCCUGCUCUGGAAAGCCAGUGGGGAAAUUUCCUGUGUGUGGCCACGAUUCAGGUUGGGGAAUGGGGUCACUCUAGUUUAAGUGCCACCCUCCGAUCGCCUGCACCCCGCCCCCCAAUCUGGCUUUCCAAAGGAUUCGGAAGCACAUCUUGUCUACAGAUGGAUGAGAUGGAUGUCCAGCCCCCACGGUCCACAGGUUUCUGACUAGAGGGAGUGUAGCAGUUUGUCUUGUGCCAUGUUACAUCUCGGGAUGGCCGGCCACAGCCCACAUCUCUAUAGCAUUUAUAACGGCAGGGGACAUUCUGUCAUCAUGGUUGCAAAACAGACCACCAGAAUGAAACACAUCCUCAACGGUAUCAAGGUUUUCAUUUAGAGUCUUUUGGACUUUCUUUGUUCAACACGGUCUCUGGAAGGGCAGUAGCAAUGCACUGUGUCUCACAGACGUGGGAAAAAACUGCGGUUCAAAGGUUAUCUAAAUUUUGGUCAGUCUUAGAGUGUUUUGUGAUGGCUUUGAACAAAUUGUCUCCUUUUAAUCUCAUCUAGUGGCAAAAAUGACACAACUUCAGUGUAUACUUCGCAACAGUUGUGACAGCAUCCUGAUUUUAUAACUCUCUGUAAUAUCAAAAGAGCAUCGGCUGGGAAUAAAUUCCAAAGGAUCCUUUAUUAAAAUAUCUAAAAGAGGU
Molecule: long non-coding RNA, 2840 nt
Filed under: Sus scrofa (pig)
Lineage: Eukaryota; Metazoa; Chordata; Mammalia; Artiodactyla; Suidae
Description: lncRNA (ENSSSCG00005016492.1)
Source: RNAcentral